CGCUGGCGGCGUGCUUAACACAUGCAAGUCGAACGAUGAAGCCUAGCUUGCUAGGUGGAUUAGUGGCGAACGGGUGAGUAAUACGUGAGUGACCUACCUUUGACUCUGGGAUAAGCCUGGGAAACUGGGUCUAAUACCGGAUACGACCAAUCUCCGCAUGGGGUGUUGGUGGAAAGCGUUAUGGAGUGGUUUUAGAUGGGCUCACGGCCUAUCAGCUUGUUGGUGAGGUAAUGGCUUACCAAGGCGACGACGGGUAGCCGGCCUGAGAGGGUGACCGGCCACACUGGGACUGAGACACGGCCCAGACUCCUACGGGAGGCAGCAGUGGGGAAUAUUGCACAAUGGGCGCAAGCCUGAUGCAGCGACGCCGCGUGAGGGAUGACGGCCUUCGGGUUGUAAACCUCUGUUAGCAUCGAAGAAGCGAAAGUGACGGUAGGUGCAGAGAAAGCGCCGGCUAACUACGCGCCAGCAGCCGCGGUAAUACGUAGGGCGCGAGCGUUGUCCGGAAUUAUUGGGCGUAAAGAGCUUGUAGGCGGUUGGUCGCGUCUGCUGUGAAGGCUGGGGCUUAACCCUGGUUUUGCAGUGGGUACGGGCUAACUAGAGUGCAGUAGGGGAGACUGGAAUUCCUGGUGUAGCGGUGGAAUGCGCAGAUAUCAGGAGGAACACCGAUGGCGAAGGCAGGUCUCUGGGCUGUAACUGACGCUGAGAAGCGAAAGCAUGGGGAGCGAACAGGAUUAGAUACCCUGGUAGUCCAUGCCGUAAACGUUGGGCACUAGGUGUGGGGGACAUUCCACGUUUUCCGCGCCGUAGCUAACGCAUUAAGUGCCCCGCCUGGGGAGUACGGCCGCAAGGCUAAAACUCAAAGAAAUUGACGGGGGCCCGCACAAGCGGCGGAGCAUGCGGAUUAAUUCGAUGCAACGCGAAGAACCUUACCAAGGCUUGACAUAUACUGGACUGCGUCAGAGAUGGCGUUUCCCUUCGGGGCUGGUAUACAGGUGGUGCAUGGUUGUCGUCAGCUCGUGUCGUGAGAUGUUGGGUUAAGUCCCGCAACGAGCGCAACCCUCGUUCUAUGUUGCCAGCACGUGAUGGUGGGGACUCAUAGGAGACUGCCGGGGUUAACUCGGAGGAAGGUGGGGAUGACGUCAAAUCAUCAUGCCCCUUAUGUCUUGGGCUUCACGCAUGCUACAAUGGCCGGUACAGAGGGUUGCGAUACUGUGAGGUGGAGCUAAUCCCUAAAAGCCGGUCUCAGUUCGGAUUGGGGUCUGCAACUCGACCCCAUGAAGUCGGAGUCGCUAGUAAUCGCAGAUCAGCAGCGCUGCGGUGAAUACGUUCCCGGGCCU
Molecule: ribosomal RNA, 1340 nt
Filed under: uncultured bacterium
Lineage: Bacteria
Description: 16S ribosomal RNA
Rfam family: Bacterial small subunit ribosomal RNA
Source: RNAcentral